This 633-nucleotide small RNA is filed under the name Histoplasma ohiense. RNAcentral describes it as "hypothetical lncRNA". The record is from RNAcentral. Lineage: Eukaryota; Fungi; Ascomycota; Eurotiomycetes; Onygenales; Ajellomycetaceae.
AGUGGCUGUCAAGAUGGGAGGAUGUCGCGCACUUGGAACGUGGGUUUGACUUAGAAUGAGGUGCCGCGAUCCUCUAGAGUUAUCCAAAGUCAAUGAGUACCACAUGCCAAUCUGUACUAUCCAGCACAAGAACAUUCCUUGGGUGCAUGGAGUAUACAGUAUAGAUUCUGCAUCAAUGAUUGCCUUCAAAAUAUUUUGAGGCUCUGACUGUGGAUAGUUUGGUUGGAUUGAGCCAUUGCAUCGAGAUCUCAGGUACUUUUUCAAUAAGGAUUAACCGGAUAGAUCGUGAACAAGUUUUAUUUGGAAUUGGCAGUUCAAGAGUAAAGGACCCAUAAUAUCUUGGAAUGAUAGUUCCUUCAAGUGGAUCAAGCAGUUGGUAGGCUGUGGUUUCAUGAGAGUAUGCUAGAUCUUGUGUAUAGUGAAAGGGAUCCACAUCAUCUUGCUCAUGAUCAAAGUAAAGAGGGUCGUAGAACUUAGCAACUAGAUACUUAUCAGUUGGUAUCAAGUCUGAUAUAUCUGGAGUCUUAUCAACCAUGUGGACAGUAACAAGUUGAGCACUGUGUUGGAUCUCCUGUUCGGACAGGUUCAACAAUCUUUAGUCGAAUAGUGAUGUAUCUCUAUUGACUAAACGGG